This 465-nucleotide ribosomal RNA is filed under the name Vreelandella stevensii. RNAcentral describes it as "partial 16S ribosomal RNA". It matches the Rfam family "Bacterial small subunit ribosomal RNA", at positions 338 to 795 of the family's 1533-position model. The record is from RNAcentral. Lineage: Bacteria; Pseudomonadati; Pseudomonadota; Gammaproteobacteria; Oceanospirillales; Halomonadaceae.
CCUACGGGGGGCUGCAGUGGGGAAUAUUGGACAAUGGGGGCAACCCUGAUCCAGCCAUGCCGCGCGUGUGAAGAAGGCCCUCGGGUUGUAAAGCACUUUCAGUGAGGAAGAACGCCUGGUGGUUAAUACCCAUCAGGAAAGACAUCACUCACAGAAGAAGCACCGGCUAACUCCGUGCCAGCAGCCGCGGUAAUACGGAGGGUGCGAGCGUUAAUCGGAAUUACUGGGCGUAAAGCGCGCGUAGGUGGCUUGAUAAGCCGGUUGUGAAAGCCCCGGGCUCAACCUGGGAACGGCAUCCGGAACUGUCAAGCUAGAGUGCAGGAGAGGAAGGUAGAAUUCCCGGUGUAGCGGUGAAAUGCGUAGAGAUCGGGAGGAAUACCAGUGGCGAAGGCGGCCUUCUGGACUGACACUGACACUGAGGUGCGAAAGCGUGGGUAGCAAACAGGAUUAGAUACCCGGGUAGUC